This is a microRNA precursor of Oryza sativa Japonica Group (Japanese rice), 198 nucleotides long. It matches the Rfam family "MIR812 microRNA precursor family". The record is from Rfam. Lineage: Eukaryota; Viridiplantae; Streptophyta; Magnoliopsida; Poales; Poaceae.
AAUAAACGUUGCCAUGAGUUUCCGUGUUCAACUUUGACCAUCCAUUUUAUUUAAUUUUUUUUAUAAUUAAUAUUUUUAUUGUUAUUAGAUUAUAAAAUAUAAAUAGUAUUUUAUGUGUGACUGAUGCUUUUUAGGUUUUUUAAAAAAAAAUUAAAUAAGACGAACAGUCAGACACAAAAAUUCAUGUCUGCGCUUAUU